RNAcentral lists this ribosomal RNA (877 nucleotides) under uncultured bacterium. RNAcentral's name for it is "bacterial SSU rRNA". It matches the Rfam family "Bacterial small subunit ribosomal RNA", at positions 611 to 1502 of the family's 1533-position model. The record is from RNAcentral.
AACCGUAAAAUUGCAGUUGAUACUGGCGUUCUUGAGUGCAGUUGAGGUGUGCGGAAUUCGUGGUGUAGCGGUGAAAUGCUUAGAUAUCACGAAGAACUCCGAUUGCGAAGGCAGCUCACUAAACUGUAACUGACGUUCAUGCUCGAAAGUGUGGGUAUCAAACAGGAUUAGAUACCCUGGUAGUCCACACGGUAAACGAUGGAUACUCGCUGUUGGCGAUAUACGGUCAGCGGCCAAGCGAAAGCGUUAAGUAUCCCACCUGGGGAGUACGCCGGCAACGGUGAAACUCAAAGGAAUUGACGGGGGCCCGCACAAGCGGAGGAACAUGUGGUUUAAUUCGAUGAUACGCGAGGAACCUUACCCGGGCUUAAAUUGCAGAGGAAUGAUCUGGAAACAGGUCAGUCUUCGGACCUUUGUGAAGGUGCUGCAUGGUUGUCGUCAGCUCGUGCCGUGAGGUGUCGGCUUAAGUGCCAUAACGAGCGCAACCCUCGCCGCCAGUUACUAACAGUUAAUGCUGAGGACUCUGGCGGGACUGCCAUCGUAAGAUGUGAGGAAGGUGGGGAUGACGUCAAAUCAGCACGGCCCUUACGUCCGGGGCUACACACGUGUUACAAUGGGCGGUACAGAAGGCAGCUACCUGGCGACAGGAUGCCAAUCCCUAAAGCCGCUCUCAGUUCGGACUGGAGUCUGCAACCCGACUCCACGAAGCUGGAUUCGCUAGUAAUCGCGCAUCAGCCACGGCGCGGUGAAUACGUUCCCGGGCCUUGUACACACCGCCCGUCAAGCCAUGAAAGCCGGGGNNNCCUGAAGUGCGUAACCGCAAGGAGCGCCCUAGGGUAAAACCGGUAAUUGGGGCUAAGUCGUAACAAGGUAACCA